This is a non-coding RNA of Delphinapterus leucas (beluga whale), 4762 nucleotides long. The record is from RefSeq and is a predicted model, not a curated record. Lineage: Eukaryota; Metazoa; Chordata; Mammalia; Artiodactyla; Monodontidae.
CACCGCGUCCGUUGCCCUGUGCUUGAACCUGAGUAGUUAAGAGAGUGGGUCUUGCGGAUCCUGCUCCGGGGGAAAACUGGUGGGAAGUCAGGACAGAUUACAAAAAAAAACUCUUUGCACCCGUCAAGGCUUAAAAACUGUGUAGCAUCAUAUUAAACCCGUGGGCUGGUUAUUGAUGACAUAUACUGUAUAUCAAGUGCUUUAGCAUGCGAUAGGGAAGGUGUAAGCGUGUGAUGUGCGAGCUCUCAUUUAAUCCUCUAACAACCCUGUGAGGUAAGGACUAGUUAUCAUUCCCAUUUUAGAGUAUGGAGGCCCAGAGAAGUUAAGUAACUUGCCCAAGGUCACAGAGCUAGUGAGUGGCAGAGCCUGGUUUGAAUCAGUGGGCCCAGCAGAUGCUGAAGUCACUCUAAGUGUAGACAUCACCAACAGGGGAGAAUAAAGAUCAAGAAGCCACAAGCCUUGUACUCAGGAAACUCAUAGUCAUUGGGGCAGCCUCAUGGGUGCGUGGGGAAAAGUAAUACCAGGGUCAUGGCUAGGAUGGAGGCAGGGGGAACAGAGAGGAGACCCAGUCCAGCCUGAGAGGAGGUGGGCCAGUCAGGUAGGCCAUUGCCUUGGGCCUGAGGGUGAGAAAGUCUUCGCCAGGCAGGGGAAGAGGAAGGAGUUGUAUUCCAGCCCGUGGAAGAAGCAGCGGGGUGGAAAGUUGGCAUUCCCAUGGAACAUUUGGAAGGGAAAACCUCACAAGAACUUUCUUCCCCAGUGGAUGCAGAGGGGAAGAGUAGAAGUGCGGUCCAAAUUCCUUUCUGGGGAGGUACAUCCUGCUUCCCUGCUGGCACAUGUCUGGCUGCUGUGAAAUGGAUCUUAGAUCGUUAUCCUGGGAUUGUCCAGAGUGUGUUAUCAGAUGAGCAGGUUACUGGAAGGUUGGUGGCAGGUUUAGGGAAUGCUGGUUGCUGCAGUAGGGAGUUUAGUGAGGGGGUGGGCGGAGGACAGGCCGUCCUCACAGCAUUUACUGUAAAGUCCUGUGGAAAUGCCUUCACAGCUCAGCUCAGACGUCACUUUCUCCUGGGAGCCCGUCCUGACCCCUGUGCUAGGUCAGGAUGCCUGUGGAAUGCGCUGGUAAACAGCUUGUCCUUUUCCUUCCUGGCACUUCCCGUGUCUGUAAUACAUAGGAAAGUGUGUGAUUCUGCGACCUUUGUCCCUCCACAGCUACCUGCCACUGAAAACACCAAGAGCACUCACUGCCCCUGAAAUGUGCUUCCAGCCCUCGGCCCAGGGCCAGGUUUACAGUUGGUGCUUAGUAAAUAUUUGUCAAAUGAAUUAAUAGGGGUAAAUCCCCUGAUGUGUCCUCCCUUCCCAGCCCUGCCUCCCGGCAUUAGGGCCGAUUACAAAAUGAAAGUAAAAAACUUGUUUUUCACCACUCUGGGACCUGUGUGGUCACUCAGAAACUCCAAACAGGGCAGGAGAGUUGAACUGUCAGAAGGACUAAAUUCUAAUGGUCACUCUGCCACUCGCUGAGCAACCUUGGGGCUGUUAUGGGCCAGGGCUCCCCUGAGCAUCAGUUUACUCAUUUGUCAAAUGAUCAGAUUGCACUAGAAUUUGAGGGUCACAUGCAAACACACUCUGAUGUUAGAGCCAAGGUCUCAGAAAUCUCGCUGUGUCUGGCAGCCCCGUGGACCGAGAGCAUGGGAGGGCUGCUCUUUGGAUGGUGGGCAGAUUUUGCUGUUGUUGUUACAUACGCACCACAUUGUAUGCAAAAUUCCUGGUUUCUUAUAAACUAGAUGGUCACUUGUCCACUCAGGGGAAACAGUCCAACUCAAUGAGGAGACAAUAACGCUUAUUUUUGCCCUGUAAAGUAUUGAAUCAAGCCCUGGGUUUGGGCCAUCUGUGUUGGCAGUAAAAUUUGUUUUCAGGUCUAAGCUGUCUCCCUUAAGUCAUUUUGACUCUGAGAGGAGAGGGAGGACCAAUCGGCAAAGGUGAAGGGCAGCCCAGGCCCAGUUUUGCUUAUCUCUGUACCCAUGUAAGCCUUGUGGGACAGGGGUGGAGAGUGAGGCCUUUCUAAUGCCUGCAGUCCUCAUGUGGUAGGAAGUGAGGAAAAUGAAGCCAAGCAGCAUAAGAUGAGGAAAAACACCCCUCUGCAAGUGUGGUGUGAGUUAUCAGUAUGAGGCAAUGAUGUGGCCCUAGUCUGCAUUAAUAGAAGUAUGCCAUCCAGAAUGAGGGAGGUGAUUUUGCAUCUCUUUUUAACUGCUAAUGGGGGUAUUUUUAGUUCUGCUGCUCUUACCCUGUGACAGUACCCUUAGGUUUCCUUUGUAGAAUCACUCUUCCCUACUUCUAAUCCACGUGGACUAAGGUGGAUGGAUGGAGUAGGCCCCAUUCGUGGGCUCCCAGGAAAUUCCAUCUUCCUGGACAUAGUGAUUGGCUCUGAUUGGGUCACCUAGCCAUGAACCAGAGAGAAUCAAUGGAACUCCUCCUGGAAAUGCUAGGAGAAUGACAGAUACUCUUUCCAUCUAGACUUCAACCUGAAAGGGUGUGUAGCUGAGUUUCUAGAGUCUUUGUCUCCAUAAGAAAGAGCCUGAGAAUAAAUUUAUCGUAAAGGAAAUGGAGCCUGACAAUAUCAUUGGAGCACCUGGAUCCAGCCAAGCCUGAAGUCACUAUGUGUUUUUAUCGGAUGUUCAUUAUGGCCAUUUUUAUACUUCACUCCUGAAGCACAUUUAGCUUGUUUUGAGGCUUCUGCUGAUACCAACGAUGGGACAGUGAACUUCCUGGGUUGAAGGUAGAAUCUGCGUGUUCCCUUUUAUCAAGGACUGUACCACAACUACUGUGGAUUAAAGCACUCAUUACCCUACUUCCCCUUGAAGAGGGAAGGAGCUGGACACAAACUGCCAAAUGAGAAGGUUUGAAAAGGAGCUGAACGAUCUGUUCGGGGACGGGCUGCUCAGGGCGGUGACCUUGGAAACGCAGCUGAACGGUUUCCCAAGACAGGCCCCAGGCCUCCUGGCCUCUCCUCUAAUGACCCUGAAAACAGGCAGCUUUGCAGGAGCAGCUAGAAAAUUCCAGAAACCGCAGGCCUUUGGGGCUGGGGGCUGGUUUUAACUUCCCCCAACCCCAUUGUACAGAUACAGAGAGUGAGGCUGAGAGGCAGGAGAAAGAGACAGACCCAUAUGGGUCUGGUCUCCCCUCUUUCCCCAGAGUUAAGCUUGACUUGGCAAGAGGGUCAAGUGCCAUAUGAAGGUGCGGGAGGAUGUCCUCAGCCCCCGAAGUUCCAUCCGAGUCCCAGACCAGUGGCCAAUCUCAGGAUUUUAUAUUUCAACUGAGCUGUCCCCUCAGAUGAGGCUCCUUCUACCCUCCAUGUCCUGCCCCUUUAAGAAGAGACCAGUCCUUGCUUUAUGUCAUUCACAGGAUUUAUUGUCACUUGCCAGUGGCUAGCAGGGGAAGGGGACACGCUGCCGAGCCUCACCACGGGCACAGGUGGCGCUGGGCCACCCAGCACUAUUUACACACGUUUCGCACGGGGCGCGUCCUCACUGGCAGCAGUUGCACUUCUCCUCAGCUUCGGCGCCCUCUCCGCCUUUACACACACAAUCCUUGGCGCAUUUCUCACACUCUGCGGGGCAGCAGGAGCAGCAGCCUGCAGAUAAAAUAGGGGCACCCAGUCUGAUGGCCUCGCCUCCCCCAUCUGUCCCCAUCAAGAGGGAGGGGGAAAAAAGGAGGGAUGCCAGAGGUCACUGCCCCCUUCCUAGUCUCACACCUGGGUUGACUCAGCAUCUCUGUUGUGUCAGCUAUGCUCUGGGCUACCCUGGGAGAGGGGUACCUAGUAACUAGCCCACAGCCCCUUCUGUGAGCACAGGACUCCCCGGGAUGGGGGGAUUAGGCCCACCCUGGGGAGUUGUAAGCCUGGAGGAGAAAACAUCCAGGGUAAAUGGCCUUGAAGGAUAAAGCUGCAGGAGCAGAGAUGGUACAGGUGUAGGGAGUCCAGGAGAUUCAUGGCCAGGGGGUGGGGUGGGGGUGCUCCACACCCAGUCUAACACGCAAAGAAGAAGGGCGCCUUCCCCCCACCUCCUUCUCCCCCUGCGUGUUCAACUGCUUUGGGGAGAUUCAGGGGAGGUAAAAUCGAGGGGAUCCACAAAGGCCCGAGACAGCCCAACGGACCCCAACUCCAGAGCUAACCCCCAGCCUCACUAAUGGCUCCCCAGGCACUGGAGGUUUUGAGGGGAGGAAUUGGACCAGGAUAGCAUUUCUCAAUCCCAACUGCCCAUUAGAAUCUUCCGGGAAUUUACAAAAACAUCUUGCCACCGUAGGGCCUAAGGUAACAAUCAUUGAGGGAGGGGCCCCUGCAACUGAGUCUUAAGGCCUCCCGCGUGGUUCUGUUACGUCAAAGCAAUGUAACAGGGGGCCUAGGGGUCGCUCUGUAUUGCGUGGACAGGCCUUGUGCUCUGAGGAGCACAGCAGGGAGGGGAAGGGCAGAGGGGUCCCCACACUCACUCUUCUUGCAGGAGGUGCAUUUGCAUCCCUCACACUUGCAGGAGUCAGCGCAGGUGCAGGAGCCGCCUAGAGAGGGAGGUGCCACAGGAAGGGUUAAAGUGGUAAAACUUGGGGUGGGGCCAGGCCCCUUGGGGGAAAUGACUCCCUUUCCCCAAAUGUCCUUGAGCAAAGGCGUAGGGCACGGGGUUCUUUGCAAGUAAAGGGGCGCGCUGUGCCGCAGGAUGGGGGCGGGGGCUCACCAGUAGGGCAGGGGCAGGUCUCAGGAUCCAUGUCGAGAGGAGCUGCC